RNAcentral lists this ribosomal RNA (301 nucleotides) under uncultured bacterium. Its description in RNAcentral is "partial 16S ribosomal RNA". It matches the Rfam family "Bacterial small subunit ribosomal RNA", at positions 509 to 809 of the family's 1533-position model. The record is from RNAcentral.
CAGUCGCCACGGUAAUACGUAGGUGGCGAGCGUUGUCCGGAAUCAUUGGGCGUAAAGGGAGCGCAGGCGGGCAUGUAAGUCUUUCUUAAAAGUUCGGGGCUCAACCCCGUGAUGGGAAAGAAACUACAUGUCUUGAGUACAGGAGAGGAAAGCGGAAUUCCCAGUGUAGCGGUGAAAUGCGUAGAUAUUGGGAGGAACACCAGUGGCGAAGGCAGCUUUCUGGACUGCAACUGACGCUGAGGCUCGAAAGCCAGGGGAGCGAACGGGAUUAGAUACCCGUGUAGUCCCUGUCUCUUAUACA